GCUUCUCUGAGGGCUAUUGCCAAGAUCUCCAGGAAACUCUCAUGGAGAUACUGGGCAAUCUGCUGCUGCAGGGUCCUCAGCAGAGCUGCUUUGUUUCUUGUCCAAUUAACGGUAACUUUCCUGCACUGCUGUGCCAUCACGGGGGGUUGGGGUGGACCAUUGCUGCACACAGGUGAACCGCAUAGGGGCUGGGACAGAAG
This is a long non-coding RNA of Dermochelys coriacea (leatherback sea turtle), 200 nucleotides long. RefSeq lists it as uncharacterized. NCBI's taxonomy places the organism in Eukaryota, Metazoa, Chordata, Testudines, Dermochelyidae. The transcript has 3 exons. The record is from RefSeq and is a predicted model, not a curated record.